GUGACAGGCAGUCUGAGCGCCGCCCUUACAAGGCGGAUGUCGGCGGUUCGAAACCGUCUGCGCCCA
RNAcentral lists this transfer RNA (66 nucleotides) under Kitasatospora gansuensis. Its description in RNAcentral is "tRNA-OTHER". It matches the Rfam family "tRNA", at positions 15 to 71 of the family's 71-position model. Rfam says of the family: Transfer RNA (tRNA) molecules are approximately 80 nucleotides in length. Lineage: Bacteria; Bacillati; Actinomycetota; Actinomycetes; Kitasatosporales; Streptomycetaceae. The record is from RNAcentral.